This 253-nucleotide ribosomal RNA is filed under the name uncultured bacterium. RNAcentral's name for it is "partial 16S ribosomal RNA". It matches the Rfam family "Bacterial small subunit ribosomal RNA", at positions 524 to 776 of the family's 1533-position model. The record is from RNAcentral.
UACGUAGGAUCCAAGCGUUGUCCGGAUUUACUGGGUGUAAAGGGCGUGUAGGUGGACUCUUAAGUCGGUGGUGAAAUUUUGCAGCUCAACUGUAACAUUGCCGUCGAAACUGGGAGUCUUGAGUGCGGAAGAGGGAAGCGGAAUUCAUGGUGUAGCGGUGAAAUGUGUAGAUAUCAUGAAGAACACCGGUAGCGAAGGCGGCUUCCUGGUCCGAUACUGACACUGAGGCGCGAAAGCGUGGGGAGCAAACAGG